GUCGAAUGUAGAAAGAUUGAUUAUAAACGGGCAACCAAAGUAAGGAAAAAAUAUUCAUGCAGACAAUGAAAACAUGAUCAUGCUCAUACAUGUAACAUUCUCAAGUCCAAUAUAGUUUAAUUUUUUUUAUUACCAAGUACUAUUGAAACUUGAAUAAAGAAUGCAACAGUAAACACAAUUCAACUAGUUUGUCAUAUACCCAAGACAACAUAGGAACCAUCAUUAAAAAGGUAGACCAAAGAUAU
Molecule: long non-coding RNA, 245 nt
Organism: Hibiscus syriacus
Lineage: Eukaryota; Viridiplantae; Streptophyta; Magnoliopsida; Malvales; Malvaceae
Exons: 3
Source: RefSeq, a predicted model, not a curated record